RNAcentral lists this long non-coding RNA (218 nucleotides) under Ricinus communis (castor bean). Its description in RNAcentral is "long non-coding RNA (RCOM_LNC002370)". Lineage: Eukaryota; Viridiplantae; Streptophyta; Magnoliopsida; Malpighiales; Euphorbiaceae. The record is from RNAcentral.
AUUUUCACAAUAAGCACAAGAAGAUUAAAUCAAGAACUAAAGAGAAUUAUCAUUGAAAUCCAAUAAAAAAUUCAUUAAACUUCAUCCUUCACUCUAGUAGAGAGAUUAGUUACUCAUACUAGAUAAACAAUAAACACAAUAAAUAACUAAAGAAAAUAUAAUUAAGAUUGAGAGUUAGAGAAAACACUAUUUUAAUCUCCAAGGAAUUAUGAAAUCUC